GCAGUAGCCGCGGGAAUACGGAGGGUGCAAGCGUUAAUCGGAAUUACUGGGCGUAAAGCGCACGCAGGCGGUCUGACAAGUCAGAUGUGAAAUCCCCGGGCUUAACCUGGGAACUGCAUUUGAAACUGUCAGGCUGGAGUCUUGUAGAGGGGGGUAGAAUUCCAGGUGUAGCGGUGAAAUGCGUAGAGAUCUGGAGGAAUACCGGUGGCGAAGGCGGCCCCCUGGACAAAGACUGACGCUCAGGUGCGAAAGCGUGGGGAGCAAACAGGAUUAGAUACCCCAGUAGUCCCUGUCUCUUAUAA
RNAcentral lists this ribosomal RNA (302 nucleotides) under uncultured bacterium. RNAcentral's name for it is "partial 16S ribosomal RNA". It matches the Rfam family "Bacterial small subunit ribosomal RNA", at positions 508 to 809 of the family's 1533-position model. The record is from RNAcentral.